RNAcentral lists this ribosomal RNA (482 nucleotides) under uncultured bacterium. RNAcentral's name for it is "partial 16S ribosomal RNA". It matches the Rfam family "Bacterial small subunit ribosomal RNA", at positions 28 to 523 of the family's 1533-position model. The record is from RNAcentral.
AGUGAACGUUGGCGGCGUGGAUUAGGCAUGCAAGUCGAGCGAGAACCGUAGCAAUACGGGGACAGCGGCGAAAGGGACAGUAAUGUGUAGGUACCUACCCCGAGGUCUGGGAUAGCUGCGGGAAACUGCAGGUAAUACCGGAUAAUGUCUUCGGACCAAAGGUGUGAUUCCACCUUGGGAGGGGCCUGCAUCCUAUUAGCUAGUUGGCGGGGUAAUGGCCCACCAAGGCAACGAUGGGUAGCGGGUGUGAGAGCACGACCCGCGUCAUUGGGACUGAGACACUGCCCAGACACCUACGGGUGGCUGCAGUCGGGGAUCUUCGGCAAUGGGCGCAAGUCUGACCGAGCGACGCCGCGUGCGGGAUGAAGGCCUUCGGGUUGUAAACCGCUGUCGUAGAGGAGGAAAUGCAGGGGGGUUCUCCCUUCUGUUUGACCUAUUCUAGGAGGAAGGACGGGCUAAGUUCGUGCCAGCAGCCGCCGCGG